ACUUUGUUGUUAAGCAGUGUGCUAAAAGUACAAAAAGCAGGAUCAUGUCUUGGAUUUUUUAAUAAUGCUAGGAGAGUUCACAGAAGAAAAGUGGACCCCAAAGACUGGGGUGAACCGCUUUCUUAAUGUCCAGUGUCUUAAUAUUUGGUGAAAUACAU
Molecule: small nucleolar RNA, 158 nt
Organism: Onychomys torridus (southern grasshopper mouse)
Lineage: Eukaryota; Metazoa; Chordata; Mammalia; Rodentia; Cricetidae
Product: small nucleolar RNA SNORA81
Exons: 1
Source: RefSeq, a predicted model, not a curated record